Salmo salar (Atlantic salmon) is the source of this 1287-nucleotide non-coding RNA. The record is from RefSeq and is a predicted model, not a curated record. NCBI's taxonomy places the organism in Eukaryota, Metazoa, Chordata, Actinopteri, Salmoniformes, Salmonidae.
UCCAGUCUACCUGUGAUCCAGAACGUUUGCCUUUCUUGCCUGGUUUCCCUUCUUCUGAUCCCCACACUUCAGUCUUCUGAUCUGAGAACCAUCAAAUCAGACAAUACUUGAUCAACAAUCAAAAAGACUAUCACUCCUGGACUGAGUGAUUAUCGAUCAUCUUUAUCAAUAACACUCUUGUUAGGCAAUCAUAUGUACCUACAGGGGAAGGAUGGCCAGCCACACAGGAGGGUGAUUUUCACUACGGAGGAGAAGGAGGCCGUGCUGACCGAGAUGCAUGCUGGCCAUUUCGGAGUGAAACGCAUGAUUGCCAAAAUCAACCUACGCAUCUUCUGACGGGGAAUUGUCAAGGAGGUGGACAGCUGGACAAGUCAGUACCUUGUCUAGCCUGACAGAAGUUGGCACCGAGGUUGAAGCCCAUCAAAGUUGUUUCAUCACGGCACAUGAUCGGGGUGGACCUCAUUGGACCCGUCACUAAAUCCAGGAAUGGCAACAGCUGGUGUCUGACGGCGACCGGUCACUUUACCAAGUGGGUGGAGGCAAUAACCAUUAAGGACGAGACUGGCGAGGCCACCUCCAAGGCGAUGAUGGACAUCUUCAACACCCACGGUUCUCCUGAGGUCAUCUUGAGUAACCGAAGUCAUGAACGCUGGAACAAGGUUUGGUGGAUGGACCAACCAGACUGCCAUGGGCAAGUCUCUUGAUUGGUACCAGGAAGGGUGGGAGAACAACCUGAAGAUCACUGAAACCCCCCCGAUGUGGUGGAAGUUGUGGAACCAGAUCAGAACGCCAUCGAGGAUCACCUUCAGGCACGGGCUGAGAAGGAUGUGGAGGUUUUUAACCAGGUGAGACUGAACAUGGAGAAGACGCAGGAGGAAUAAAAAGGGAGCAACCGGAGCAGAAUCAAGAAGGGAACCAAGUGCUAUGACAUCCGGGCGAAUGUCUUGGUUUGGAAGGAAGGUGAGACCUGGGAAACCUCGCUGCUCUUUUGUUCCUAGCUGGGGUCACCAUCUGUUCAGGGUUAUCUCGGUGGAAGCCAGCAACCUUCCUAUCCACCAGAACCAGUGAGUUCGGAUCAGUCUGAUUCUCUGUCGGAGGGGGACCAGCUUGAGGACCUAGUGGUUCUACCCAACAACUAGACAUGGAUCCACCUGAUGUCCUCCAUUAUCUGUUCUCCAGGACCUAGUGGUUCUACCCAACACCUAGACAUGGAUCCACCUGAUGUCCUCCAUUAUCUGUUCUCCAGGACCUAGUGGUUCUACCCAACAACUAGACAUGGAUCCACCU